CUUGUUGUUUUUGACUCGGAAGUUGGAAUAAUACGAUUUAGGGAUUUAGGACAGAACGAUUUACGAACGAAUGGAUAAUUAUCCUAAACGGAUCGGUCGGGUUAUCGGUUCGACGGAACAUAGAAGAUUGGAUCUCAUCUCGCCUAAAAUGGCUUUGCCUUGGCACUCUGGUAACUUGGUAAGUCUGUGAUUUAUUUUUUGAGUUUGAAAAAUGUAAUGUAAAUGAGGUAACAACAAUCAAGAUGGUGUUUGAAUGAAUUAUUUACACAACAUUUUCAUUGCAGGUAAGCUAUGAUGACAAAAAUAAUCUCUUCAAAUGCAGAUUUCCGGAUUAAUGACGUUUCAUCUCCUUGAAGAUGUUAGUGACAUUGGGUGAUACUUUGGGUAGAAAUUUGAACAACUGUUCCGACACACAAAGAGAGUUAGAGUCAUGUAUAUGAGUUGUCGAUUAAUUGGAUCCGACGAUCGAGUAAGGGAACG
This 480-nucleotide long non-coding RNA is filed under the name Zostera marina. Its description in RNAcentral is "long non-coding RNA (ZMAR_LNC000312)". The record is from RNAcentral. Lineage: Eukaryota; Viridiplantae; Streptophyta; Magnoliopsida; Alismatales; Zosteraceae.